UGGGGAAUUUUGGACAAUGGGCGCAAGCCUGAUCCAGCCAUGCCGCGUGUCUGAAGAAGGCCUUCGGGUUGUAAAGGACUUUUGUCCGGGAGCAAAUACCCAGUGCUAAUAACGCUGGGGGCUGAGAGUACCGGAAGAAUAAGCACCGGCUAACUACGUGCCAGCAGCCGCGGUAAUACGUAGGGUGCAAGCGUUAAUCGGAAUUACUGGGCGUAAAGCGUGCGCAGGCGGUUUUGUAAGCCAGAUGUGAAAGCCCCGGGCUCAACCUGGGAACUGCGUUUGGAACUACAAGACUAGAGUGUGUCAGAGGGGGGUGGAAUUCCGCGUGUAGCAGUGAAAUGCGUAGAGAUGCGGAGGAACACCGAUGGCGAAGGCAGCCCCCUGGGAUAACACUGACGCU
RNAcentral lists this ribosomal RNA (400 nucleotides) under uncultured bacterium. RNAcentral describes it as "bacterial SSU rRNA". It matches the Rfam family "Bacterial small subunit ribosomal RNA", at positions 355 to 747 of the family's 1533-position model. The record is from RNAcentral.